UACAGAGACUGCAAGCGUUAUUCGGAUUCACUGGGCGUAAAGGGUGCGCAGGCGGCCGAGUGUGUGAGGCGUGAAAGCCCGGGGCUUAACCCCGGAAUUGCACCUCAAACUACACGGCUAGAGCAUUGGAGAGGGUAGCAGAAUCCAUGGUGUAGCAGUGAAAUGCGUAGAUAUCAUGAGGAAUACCAGAGGCGAAGGCGGCUACCUGGACAAUUGCUGACGCUCAGGCACGAAAGCGUGGGGAGCAAACAGG
Molecule: ribosomal RNA, 253 nt
Filed under: uncultured bacterium
Lineage: Bacteria
Description: partial 16S ribosomal RNA
Rfam family: Bacterial small subunit ribosomal RNA
Source: RNAcentral